CAGUCGCCGCGGGAAAACGAGGGGGGCAAGCGUUGUUCGGAAUGACUGGGCGUAAAGGGCGCGUAGGCGGAUUGUUUAGUUAGGCGUGAAAUUCCUGGGCUUAACCCGGGGACUGCGCUUAAUACAGGCAGUCUAGAGUGAGGAAGAGGGUUGUGGAAUUCCCAGUGUAGAGGUGAAAUUCGUAGAUAUUGGGAAGAACACCGGUGGCGAAGGCGGCAACCUGGUCCUUGACUGACGCUGAGGCGCGAAAGCGUGGGGAGCAAACAGGAUUAGAUACCCCUGUAGUCCCUGUCUCUUAUAC
RNAcentral lists this ribosomal RNA (301 nucleotides) under uncultured bacterium. RNAcentral describes it as "partial 16S ribosomal RNA". It matches the Rfam family "Bacterial small subunit ribosomal RNA", at positions 509 to 807 of the family's 1533-position model. The record is from RNAcentral.